This is a long non-coding RNA of Silurus meridionalis, 178 nucleotides long. RefSeq lists it as uncharacterized. NCBI's taxonomy places the organism in Eukaryota, Metazoa, Chordata, Actinopteri, Siluriformes, Siluridae. The transcript is spliced from 2 exons. The record is from RefSeq and is a predicted model, not a curated record.
CGUGCUUUGAGAGCUCAGCGGGACCGUGAUCGGAGGGCAGUACAGCCGGAAGUGUGUGCAGCCGAGGAAUCUGCAUAGACCCACCAGUGAACUAUUCUACAUUAGUAAUUCUGUUAUUCCUGUUUCCUGUUUUUUUUUUUACUUGAAUUAAUUUGAAUUAUAUGUGAUUUACACAUUC